Molecule: small nucleolar RNA, 79 nt
Organism: Euleptes europaea (tarantolino)
Lineage: Eukaryota; Metazoa; Chordata; Lepidosauria; Squamata; Sphaerodactylidae
Product: small nucleolar RNA SNORD20
Exons: 1
Source: RefSeq, a predicted model, not a curated record
UGGAAAUGAUGAUUUCUCGCUGAGCUGAUGUGAUAAAAAUCACAUAUGAAUAUACAAAGAUAGUCAAGUCCUGAUCCAG